GACGAACGCUGGCGGCGUGCUUAACACAUGCAAGUCGAACGGAAAGGCCCUGCUUUUGUGGGGUGCUCGAGUGGCGAACGGGUGAGUAACACGUGAGUAACCUGCCCUUGACUUUGGGAUAACUUCAGGAAACUGGGGCUAAUACCGGAUAGGAGCUCCUGCUGCAUGGUGGGGGUUGGAAAGUUUCGGCGGUUGGGGAUGGACUCGCGGCUUAUCAGCUUGUUGGUGGGGUAGUGGCUUACCAAGGCUUUGACGGGUAGCCGGCCUGAGAGGGUGACCGGCCACAUUGGGACUGAGAGACGGCCCAGACUCCUACGGGAGGCAGCAGUGGGGAAUAUUGCACAAUGGGCGGAAGCCUGAUGCAGCAACGCCGCGUGCGGGAUGACGGCCUUCGGGUUGUAAACCGCUUUCGCCUGUGAUGAAGCGUGAGUGACGGUAAUGGGUAAAGAAGCACCGGCUAACUACGUG
Molecule: ribosomal RNA, 468 nt
Filed under: uncultured bacterium
Lineage: Bacteria
Description: partial 16S ribosomal RNA
Rfam family: Bacterial small subunit ribosomal RNA
Source: RNAcentral